Molecule: ribosomal RNA, 583 nt
Filed under: uncultured bacterium
Lineage: Bacteria
Description: partial 16S ribosomal RNA
Rfam family: Bacterial small subunit ribosomal RNA
Source: RNAcentral
CACGCCGUAAACGANGAGUGCUAGGUGUUAGGUCCUUUCCGGGACUUAGUGCCGCAGCUAACGCAUUANGCACUCCGCCUGGGGAGUACGACCGCAAGGUUGAAACUCAAAGGAAUUGACGGGGGCCCGCACAAGCGGUGGAGCAUGUGGUUUAAUUCGAAGCAACGNGAAGAACCUUACCAGGUCUUGACAUCCCGAUGCCCGCUCUAGAGAUAGAGCUUUACUUCGGUACAUCGGUGACAGGUGGUGCAUGGUUGUCGUCAGCUCGUGUCGUGAGAUGUUGGGUUAANNNNNNNANCGAGCGCAACCCUUAUUGUUAGUUGCCAUCAUUCAGUUGGGCACUCUAGCGAGACUGCCGGUAAUAAACCGGAGGAAGGUGGGGAUGACGUCAAAUCAUCAUGCCCCUUAUGACCUGGGCUACACACGUGCUACAAUGGCUGGUACAACGAGUCGCAAGCCGGUGACGGCAAGCUAAUCUCUGAAAGCCAGUCUCAGUUCGGAUNGUAGGCUGCAACUCGCCUACAUGAAGUCGGAAUCGCUAGUAAUCGCGGAUCAGCACGCCGCGGNGAAUACGUUCCCGGGC